UUUUGCAGCCACUUUUU
This 17-nucleotide small RNA is filed under the name Arabidopsis thaliana (thale cress). Its description in RNAcentral is "ATSL226960". The record is from RNAcentral. Lineage: Eukaryota; Viridiplantae; Streptophyta; Magnoliopsida; Brassicales; Brassicaceae.